ACAGGAUGGGAAUUUCAAAAGUCUUUAUAAGCCCUUGCACAGCAUUUUUGUGUGUCUUCCUCCUUUCCUGCAUGUGAGGCGAGCACCCUGUUGCAACAGAUCAAUAAAGAUCAGGCUUACUAGCUGCUUUGCUUCUCAAUAUUCUCUGGUUGGCCUCUGUUAUUUUCUUCUACCAAUAGGGAACCUAUGUAAGGACUCUAUAUGGGCUCUUGGAUACCCCAUAAGGGAAAAGGGCAUAUUUUUAUUUACAACACCAGCAUUCCUGAGCAGUGGCCAUGUUGUCUGGGGGCUGAUGGGAGUUUGACAGCAGCUGGAGGACCUUUGCUUCCUCACCCCUAGCCUAAGGCAGAUGGGGAUUCUUCAUGUCGAAGAAUACUGACCUAACAGCAGCUCUUGGGACAGAGGUUGUGUGCCUGUCUUUCCUUCUCAUUCUUCUGCAAGCCUUCCAGCGUGGCUCGGUCAUACUCGUGACCCUGAUCAUUCCUGUAGCGCUUGCAAGAGCAAAUCUGUGACGUUUGAGGCCUCCCUCUGCUCUGUCUUGGGGGUGAGGUUAUAGAAAUCUCAAACAAGCGUUUCCCAGGAGAAUCGGGUGCGAAGAAGGUGUAUCUGCUGCAGUUAGAACAGGGCAAGCUGAGGGCACUGAGACUUUUAAAACCAUCUUGCAGUCAGUCUUAAGGGGUCUGGUCAGCCGCAGGGCUGUCUAAUCUGGAAUCUGUUCCCAGUGGAAAUGAAAAGGAGUUUAUACAUCUCUUUCAAAAAGCAAACUAGCAAAACCCUUUUUGUUUUGAAUGGGUGCUUUUGUUGGACGAGAGAAUCUUUCUUUAGUUGCUGUCCUGGGUGCAUUCAUUUGAACCGAGUGGAAUUUGCUUCUGAGUAGGGAGUGCAUCUGCUCAGACUUUGCGUUUGGAUUUGGAGAGGCUUGGGUUGACAGUCGUUUCAGAGGGGUGGCAAAAGCGAGGACUCCUGAGAUCCUGAAUGGGGUAACUGUGCCCCUGAAGGACCAGGUGCGCAGCCUGGGAGUGCAGGUCAAUACUGUGUCCAGGGCAGCUGUCUACCAGCCCCAUCUGGUACGCUGGAUGAGCCCCUCCCUGCCCACAGAUUGUCUCGCUAGAGUGCUUCAUGCAAUCUCCCGCUUGGACUCCUGCAAUGCACUCUACGUUGGGCUCCCUUUGAAGGUGACCCAGAAACUACAACUAAUCCAGAAUGUAGCAGCUAGACUGGUGACUGGGAGCGGCCGCCGAGACCACAUAACACCGGUCUUGAAAGACCUACAUUGGCUCCCAGUACGUUUCCGAGCACAAUUCAAAGUGUUGGUGCUACCUUUAAAGCCCUAAACAGCCUCAGUCCUGUAUACCUGAAGGAGCGUCUCCUCCCCCAUCGUUCUGCCUGGACACUGAGGUCCAGCACCGAGGGCCUUCUGGCGGUUCCCUCACUGCGAGAAGCCAAGUUACAGGGAACCAGGCAGAGGGCCUUCUCGGUGGUGGCACCCGCCCUGUGGAACGCCCUCCCACCAGAUGUCAAAGAGAAAAACAACUACCAGAUUCUUAGAAAACAUCUGAAGGCAGCCCUGUUUAGGGAAGCUUUUAAUGUUUGAUGCAUUACUGUAUUUUAAUAUUCUGUUGGAAGCCGCCCAGAGUGGCUGGGGAAACCCAGCUAGAUGGGCAGGGUAUAAAUAAUAAUAAUAAUAAUUAUUGUUAAUUAAUGAUUACUGUUGUGGGAGAGGAAGGGAAAGGAGAUUGUUAGCCGCUUUGAGACUCCUUAAGGUAGUGAUAAAGCGGGAUAUCAAAUCCAAACUCUUCUCUUCUUCUUU
Podarcis raffonei (Aeolian wall lizard) is the source of this 1810-nucleotide long non-coding RNA. RefSeq lists it as uncharacterized. NCBI's taxonomy places the organism in Eukaryota, Metazoa, Chordata, Lepidosauria, Squamata, Lacertidae. The transcript is spliced from 2 exons. The record is from RefSeq and is a predicted model, not a curated record.